CCAGUCUUUGACUUGCUGGGGAUAUCAAUCCCGACUCUGCUUUGGGAACCCUCACAGAUACCUGACGACUUCACCGGGGAAAUGCUCACAGAUACUCCGCUGGGGAAAUAGCAAUCUCCAGGCCCAUUGACUGGGGAAGCAUCAAUCUAUCACCUGCUAGGGAUAACCAUCCUGACCCUGCUAGGGAAACGAAUGCUACUCCGCUGGGGACAACCCAUGCAAUCCAUAGGUAGAAUCAACUCAGCUGGGGAUGCAGAUAUCAGUCCGCUACGGAAACUCGUCCAAUCCACUAAUAGGAUGAACACUGCUGGAGAUAUAUUUCAUUGAAACCCGCUCCACUCGGGGAUUAGCAACCUUCU
Molecule: long non-coding RNA, 359 nt
Filed under: Lathyrus oleraceus (garden pea)
Lineage: Eukaryota; Viridiplantae; Streptophyta; Magnoliopsida; Fabales; Fabaceae
Description: Pisum sativum (pea) long non-coding RNA (PSAT_LNC017858)
Source: RNAcentral